CAUAACACUUCACCAUUAUUUGGCCCUAGAGGAAGGCAUUGAGAAGUAGUUAGUAGAUGAUGGGUUGCUAGAGUGACAGAAGCUUAAACCCUAGUUUAUGCGUUGCUUCGUAAGGGGUUGAUUUGGAUCCACUUGUUUAAUGCUAUGGUUAGACUUUGUCUUAAUUUUUAUUUCGUAGUUGCGGAUUCUUGCGAGAGGGGUUAAUCAUAAGUGGGAUGCUUGUCCAAGUAAGGGCAGUACCCAAG
This 245-nucleotide long non-coding RNA is filed under the name Hordeum vulgare. Its description in RNAcentral is "long non-coding RNA (HVUL_LNC017885)". Lineage: Eukaryota; Viridiplantae; Streptophyta; Magnoliopsida; Poales; Poaceae. The record is from RNAcentral.